This 440-nucleotide ribosomal RNA is filed under the name uncultured bacterium. RNAcentral's name for it is "partial 16S ribosomal RNA". It matches the Rfam family "Bacterial small subunit ribosomal RNA", at positions 338 to 795 of the family's 1533-position model. The record is from RNAcentral.
CCUACGGGUGGCAGCAGUGGGGGAUAUUGCACAAUGGGGGAAACCCUGAUGCAGCGACGCCGCGUGGGUGAAGAAGUACUUCGUUAUGUAAAGCUCUAUCAGCAGGGAAGAAAAUGACGGUACCUGAGGAAGAAGCCCCGGCUAACUACGUGCCAGCAGCCGCGGUAAUACGUAGGGGGCAAGCGUUAUCCGGAUUUACUGGGUGUAAAGGGAGCGUAGACGGCAGUGCAAGUCUGGAGUGAAAGGCGGGGGCCCAACCCCCGGACUGCUCUGGAAACUGCACGGCUGGAGUGCAGGAGAGGUAAGUGGAAUUCCUGGUGUAGCGGUGAAAUGCGUAGAUAUCAGGAGGAACACCAGUGGCGAAGGCGGCUUGCUGGACUGUAACUGACGUUGAGGCCCGAAAGCGUGGGGAGCAAACAGGAUUAGAUACCCGAGUAGUC